This 309-nucleotide long non-coding RNA is filed under the name Capsicum annuum. RNAcentral describes it as "long non-coding RNA (CANN_LNC015007)". Lineage: Eukaryota; Viridiplantae; Streptophyta; Magnoliopsida; Solanales; Solanaceae. The record is from RNAcentral.
ACAAUCGUGACAGAGGCGGAGUCAGGAUUUUUGAAGUUUAUGGGUUCUGAACUUGCCACUGAACUCAUAACUCGUUUUCGUUACUACAAAAUAUUUGCAAAUAUAGGGUCUGAGCCAAGCUUUUGUGCUUGUGUGGACCCGUGCUUGUACUAUAGCUCCGCCCCUGAAACCUUUUGUGCUCGUGUGAACCCGUGCUUGUACUAUGGCUCUGACCCUCAAAGCUUUUGUGCUUGUGUGGACCUGUGAUUGUACUAUAGCUCCGCCCCUGAAACCUUUUGUGCUCGUGUGAACCCGUGCUUGUACUAUGGC